This 403-nucleotide ribosomal RNA is filed under the name uncultured prokaryote. Its description in RNAcentral is "bacterial SSU rRNA". It matches the Rfam family "Bacterial small subunit ribosomal RNA", at positions 355 to 776 of the family's 1533-position model. RNAcentral also lists the same sequence under 1 other name. The record is from RNAcentral.
UGGGGAAUAUUGCACAAUGGGCGAAAGCCUGAUGCAGCAACGCCGCGUGAGCGAUGAAGGCCUUCGGGUCGUAAAGCUCUGUCCUUAGGGAAGAUAAUGACGGUACCUUUGGAGGAAGCCCCGGCUAACUCCGUGCCAGCAGCCGCGGUAAUACGGAGGGGGCGAGCGUUAUCCGGAAUCAUUGGGCGUAAAGGGUGCGUAGGCGGUCUUUUAAGCGCGAGGUUUAAGGCUACGGCUUAACCGUAGUUCGCCUUGCGAACUGGAGGACUUGAGUGCUGGAGAGGAAAGCGGAAUUCCUAGUGUAGCGGUGAAAUGCGUAGAUAUUAGGAGGAACACCAGUGGCGAAGGCGGCUUUCUGGACAGUAACUGACGCUGAGGCACGAAAGCGUGGGGAGCAAACAGG